RNAcentral lists this ribosomal RNA (455 nucleotides) under uncultured bacterium. RNAcentral describes it as "SSU rRNA". It matches the Rfam family "Bacterial small subunit ribosomal RNA", at positions 26 to 518 of the family's 1533-position model. The record is from RNAcentral.
AGAGCGAACGCUGGCGGCAUGCCUAACACAUGCAAGUCGCACGGUCGGGGGGAGACUUCCGGCAGUGGCGGACGGGUGAGUAACGCGUAGGGAUCUAUCCUUGGAUGGGGGACAACCGCGGGAAACCGCGGCUAAUACCGCAUGAUGCCUGAGGGCCAAAGCUCGCGAGAGCGUCUGGGGAGGAGCCUGCGUCCGAUUAGCUUGUUGGUAAGGUAAUGGCUUACCAAGGCGACGAUCGGUAGCUGGUCUGAGAGGAUGAUCAGCCACACUGGGACUGAGACACGGCCCAGACUCCUACGGGAGGCAGCAGUGGGGAAUAUUGGACAAUGGGCGCAAGCCUGAUCCAGCAAUGCCGCGUGGGUGAAGAAGGUCUUCGGAUUGUAAAGCCCUUUCGGCGGGACGAUGAUGACGGUACCCGCAGAAGAAGCCCCGGCUAACUUCGCGUCAGCAGCCGC